GACGAACGCUGGCGGCGUGCUUAACACAUGCAAGUCGAACGGAAAGGCCCCUUUGGGGGUACUCGAGUGGCGAACGGGUGAGUAACACGUGAGUAACCUGCCCUUGACUUCGGGAUAACUUCAGGAAACUGGGGCUAAUACCGGAUAGGAAUCCUUGCUGCAUGGUGGGGGUUGGAAAGCUUCGGCGGUUUUGGAUGGACUCGCGGCUGAUCAGCUUGUUGGUGGGGUAGUGGCUUACCAAGGCUUUGACGGGUAGCCGGCCUGAGAGGGCGACCGGCCACAGUGGGACUGGGAUACGGCCCAGACUCCUACGGGAGGCAGAAGUGGGGAAGGUUGAACAAGGGGCGGAGGCCGGAUGCAGCAACGCCGCGGGCGGGAUGACGGCCUUCGGGUUGUAAUCCGCUUGCAGCAGGGGCGAAGCUUGUGGUGACGGUACCUGCAGAAGAAGCACCGGCUAACUACGUG
RNAcentral lists this ribosomal RNA (465 nucleotides) under uncultured bacterium. RNAcentral describes it as "partial 16S ribosomal RNA". It matches the Rfam family "Bacterial small subunit ribosomal RNA", at positions 28 to 507 of the family's 1533-position model. The record is from RNAcentral.